AUACGGAGGGUGCAAGCGUUACUCUGAGUCACUGGGCGUAAAGCGUCCGUAGGCGGUCGGGUAAGUCGGGUGUGAAAGCCCCGGGCUCAACCUGGGAAGUGCACCCGAUACUGCUCGACUCGAGUGCGGGAGAGGAUGGCGGAAUUCCCGGUGUAGCGGUGAAAUGCGUAGAGAUCGGGAGGAACACCAGUGGCGAAGGCGGCCAUCUGGCCCGCAACUGACGCUGAGGGACGAAAGCGUGGGGAGCAAACAGGAUUAGAAACCCUAGUAGUCC
Molecule: ribosomal RNA, 274 nt
Filed under: uncultured bacterium
Lineage: Bacteria
Description: partial 16S ribosomal RNA
Rfam family: Bacterial small subunit ribosomal RNA
Source: RNAcentral